UUGCUUUUUUGAUGACGACCGGCGCACGGGUGCGUAACGCGUAUGCAAUCUACCUUUUGCUACUGGAUAGCCCAGAGAAAUUUGGAUUAACACAGUAUAGUAUCAUAUUACUGCAUGGUAUUUAUGAUUAAAGGCUACGGCAGAAGAUGAGCAUGCGUCCUAUUAGCUAGUUGGUGUGGUAACGGCAUACCAAGGCAACGAUAGGUAGGGGCCCUGAGAGGGGGAUCCCCCACACUGGUACUGAGACACGGACCAGACUCCUACGGGAGGCAGCAGUGAGGAAUAUUGGACAAUGGAGGCAACUCUGAUCCAGCCAUGCCGCGUGCAGGAUGACUGCCCUAUGGGUUGUAAACUGCUUUUAUACAGGAAGAACCGCUCUACGUGUAGAGCUCUGACGGUACUG
This 403-nucleotide ribosomal RNA is filed under the name Tamlana sp. P12-14. RNAcentral's name for it is "bacterial SSU rRNA". It matches the Rfam family "Bacterial small subunit ribosomal RNA", at positions 80 to 480 of the family's 1533-position model. Lineage: Bacteria; Pseudomonadati; Bacteroidota; Flavobacteriia; Flavobacteriales; Flavobacteriaceae. The record is from RNAcentral.